AGAGGGUAAACAACUUUAUUAAAAGUUUCCGCCCAAAUUGUAUUAGUGAAGGGGCAUUUGAAGAAUAGGUUAUUGGAAUCUUCAAUGUUGGCAUUGCAAUUCUUACAAUUAGGGUUUAUGUCAAGGCCUUUCUUAGCAAGAUUUUGCUCUUUUGAAAGUUUAUCAUGAUGAAGGAGCCAUAUGAAAAUUUUAAUCCUUGGGGGGUGGGGAGGUGCCAGAUCCAGUUGAAGAAAGUGUGAGAAGUAAUCAAGUUGUUGGUGUUGUGGGUGAUCAAGUGUUGGUAUGCACUUUGGGAAGAGAAGUUUCCUUUACCAUUGGUAGCCUAGAAUGGGGUGUCUAAAGCUACUUUGU
RNAcentral lists this long non-coding RNA (351 nucleotides) under Capsicum annuum. Its description in RNAcentral is "long non-coding RNA (CANN_LNC015340)". Lineage: Eukaryota; Viridiplantae; Streptophyta; Magnoliopsida; Solanales; Solanaceae. The record is from RNAcentral.